UGAGGAAUAUUGGUCAAUGGACGUGAGUCUGAACCAGCCAAGUCGCGUGAAGGAAGAAGGUUCUAUGGAUUGUAAACUUCUUUUAUACGGGAAUAAAGUGCGCCACGUGUGGUGUUUUGUAUGUACCUUAUGAAUAAGGAUCGGCUAACUCCGUGCCAGCAGCCGCGGUAAUACGGAGGAUCCGAGCGUUAUCCGGAUUUAUUGGGUUUAAAGGGAGCGUAGAUGGAUGUUUAAGUCAGUUGUGAAAGUUUGCGGCUCAACCGUAAAAUUGCAGUUGAUACUGGAUAUCUUGAGUGCAGUUGAGGCAGGCGGAAUUCGUGGUGUAGCGGUGAAAUGCUUAGAUAUCACGCAGAACCCCGAUUGCGAAGGCAGCCUGCCNAGCCAUGACUGACGCUGAUGCACGAAAGCGUGGGGAUCAAAC
This 421-nucleotide ribosomal RNA is filed under the name uncultured Bacteroides sp. Its description in RNAcentral is "bacterial SSU rRNA". It matches the Rfam family "Bacterial small subunit ribosomal RNA", at positions 355 to 773 of the family's 1533-position model. The record is from RNAcentral. Lineage: Bacteria; Pseudomonadati; Bacteroidota; Bacteroidia; Bacteroidales; Bacteroidaceae.